GUCUGCAGCCAUACCACCUCGAACGUCUCCAUAUCAUCUGAUCUCGGGAGCUGAGCAGGGUUGGGCCUGUUUAGUACUUGGAUGGGAGAAGAUGGGUACCACGCACU
Molecule: ribosomal RNA, 107 nt
Organism: Myotis lucifugus (little brown bat)
Lineage: Eukaryota; Metazoa; Chordata; Mammalia; Chiroptera; Vespertilionidae
Source: Ensembl